AGGGACUUAGGGAGUUGGGGAUUUGAGUCUUAAAAGUGUCCCCACCCCUAGUUACAUGGAGAUGGAGGGUUCUUAGCCCCUUGCUUUUCGCUCCUCCAUCUACAUUCCUCCCCCCACCCCCAGCUUACAACAGGCCAGGUUUCCUUGGUGAGUUCGUGGAGAAGGGGGCAACACCCCCAGUCAGACCAGAAGGCUGAGUUGUGAACUGGCCAUGUGGUUAAGCAAGUGGUAGAAGACAGGGACCUUAGUUUCUGGUCUUGGGGUGGAGGAUGAAGACACUGGGACCAUCCGCCUUGUGUGUACUGUAUGUCGCCAGCCGCUGUUGCUGAAGGAACUUGAAGCAUAAUCGAUCCAUCCCAGAGGGACUGGAGUUAUGACAAGCUUCCCAAAUAUUUUGCUUUAUCAUCUGAUAUCAACACUUGUAUCUGGUCUCUGUGUCCCAGCGGUGCCUUGUGCAAUGUCAGUGUGCGCGUCUAUGCUAAACCACCAUUUUAUUUGGUCUUUUGUUUUGUUUUGGUUUUGCUCUGAUUCUUGCCAAAAUGAGACUCUUCACGAACGGCCAGGGGAAGGGGCUGAGUGAGGCUCUCAUUCUUUUUGGUUUAGGGAUGUUUGGUUUUUUUGUUUUGUUUUGUUUUGUUUUGUUUUCUUUCGCCUCCCAGAGGACCAAUGAAAUGAAGUGGGCUUCUCCCUCUCCCCUAGUUUUCCAAGGGUGUAUGUAGUUGUGGGUCUUAGCUUCCUUCCUCCGGCUGAGACUUAUACUGGCUUCCCCACCCACCCACCCCCAUCCCCAAAGGCCCUGGCUCUGGGUCUGGAAAGAAGGCCACCUCCAGCCAAUUUGUACACAACCCUGCCACUGGAAGCAGGGGUGGACUGCUUCCUUCUCUUCUUUUUUUGGGGGGAGGGGACACAAAGUUUCAUGCUAGAUGUCCUAUGUAUUAUAUCUAUAAUAUAAACAUAUCAAACUCAA
RNAcentral lists this long non-coding RNA (967 nucleotides) under Rattus norvegicus (Norway rat). Its description in RNAcentral is "long non-coding RNA NONRATT000603". Lineage: Eukaryota; Metazoa; Chordata; Mammalia; Rodentia; Muridae. The record is from RNAcentral.